RNAcentral lists this ribosomal RNA (421 nucleotides) under uncultured Anoxybacillus sp. RNAcentral describes it as "bacterial SSU rRNA". It matches the Rfam family "Bacterial small subunit ribosomal RNA", at positions 962 to 1382 of the family's 1533-position model. The record is from RNAcentral. Lineage: Bacteria; Bacillati; Bacillota; Bacilli; Caryophanales; Anoxybacillaceae.
CGAAGAACCUUACCAGGUCUUGACAUCCCCUGACAACCCGAGAGAUCGGGCGUUCCCCUUCGGGGGACAGGGUGACAGGUGGUGCAUGGUUGUCGUCAGCUCGUGUCGUGAGAUGUUGGGUUAAGUCCCGCAACGAGCGCAACCCUCGACCUUAGUUGCCAGCAUUCAGUUGGGCACUCUAAGGUGACUGCCGGCUAAAAGUCGGAGGAAGGUGGGGAUGACGUCAAAUCAUCAUGCCCCUUAUGACCUGGGCUACACACGUGCUACAAUGGGCGGUACAAAGGGUCGCGAACCCGCGAGGGGGAGCCAAUCCCAAAAAGCCGCUCUCAGUUCGGAUUGCAGGCUGCAACUCGCCUGCAUGAAGCCGGAAUCGCUAGUAAUCGCAGGUCAGCAUACUGCGGUGAAUACGUUCCCGGGCCUU